Oncorhynchus keta (chum salmon) is the source of this 3430-nucleotide long non-coding RNA. RefSeq lists it as uncharacterized. NCBI's taxonomy places the organism in Eukaryota, Metazoa, Chordata, Actinopteri, Salmoniformes, Salmonidae. The transcript is spliced from 4 exons. The record is from RefSeq and is a predicted model, not a curated record.
AGGUUAGCAAUGAUGAAAGAACUCAUAUACUAACACACACACAGGUUAGCAAUGAUGAAAGAACUCAUAUACUAACACGCACACAGGUUAGCAAUGACGCAAGAACUUGUAAACUAACUAACACAAACAGGUUAGCAAUGAUGGAAUAACUCAUAUACUAACUAACACACACACACACAGGUUAGCAAUGAUAGAAGAACUCGUAUACUACCUAACACACACACACACACACACACACACACACACACACACACACACACACACACACACACACACACACACACACACACACACACACACACACACACACACACACACACACAGGUUAGCAAUGAUGGAAGAACUUGUAUACUAACUAACAAACACAGGUUAGCAAUGAUGGAAGAACUUGUAUACUAACUAACACACACAGGUUAGCAAUGAUGGAAGAACUUGUAUAAUAACUAACACACACAGGUUAGCAAUGAUGGAAGAACUUGUAUACUAACACGCACACAGGUUAGCAAUGAUGAAAGAACUCAUAUACUAACACGCACACAGGUUAGCAAUGACGCAAUAACUUGUAAACUAACUAACACAAACAGGUUAGCAAUGAUGGAAUAACUCAUAUACUAACUAACACACACACACACAGGUUAGCAAUGAUAGAAGAACUCGUAUACUACCUAACACACACACACACACACACACACACACACACACACACACACACACACACACACACACACACACACACACACACACACACACACACACACACACACACACAGGUUAGCAAUGAUGGAAGAACUUGUAUACUAACUAACAAACACAGGUUAGCAAUGAUGGAAGAACUUGUAUACUAACUAACACACACAGGUUAGCAAUGAUGGAAGAACUUGUAUAAUAACUAACACACACAGGUUAGCAAUGAUGGAAGAACUUGUAUACUAACUAACACACACAGGUUAGCAAUGAUGAAAGAACCCGUAUACUACCUAACACACACACACACACACACAGGUUAGCAAUGAUAGAAGAACUCGUAUACUACCUAACACACACACACACAGGUUAGCAAUGAUGAAAGAACUCAUAUACUAACACACACACAGGUUAGCAAUGAUGAAAGAACUCAUAUACUAACACGCACACAGGUUAGCAAUGACGCAAGAACUUGUAAACUAACUAACACAAACAGGUUAGCAAUGAUGGAAUAGCUCAUAUACUAACUAACACACACAGGUUAGCAAUGAUAGAAGAACUCGUAUACUACCUAACACACACACACACACACACACACACACACACACACACACGCACACGCACACGCACACACACACACACACGUUAGCAAUGAUGGAAGAACUUGUAUACUAACUAACAAACACAGGUUAGCAAUGAUGGAAGAACUUGUAUACUAACUAACACACACAGGUUAGCAAUGAUGGAAGAACUUGUAUACUAACUAACAGACACAGGUUAGCGAUGAUGGAAGAACUUGUAUACUAACUAACACACAGGUUAGUAAUGAUGGAAGAACUCGUAUACUAACACACACACAGGUUAGCAAUGAUGGAAGACCUCGUAAACUAACACACACACACAGGUUAGCAAUGAUAGAAGAACCCGUAUACAACCUAACACACACGCACAGGUUAGUAAUGAUGGAAGAACUCGUAUACUAACCAACACACACACACAGGUUAGCAAUGAUGGAAGAACUUGUAUACUAACUAACACACACAGGUUAGCAAUGAUGGAAGAACUCAUAUACUAACACACACACACUGGUUAGCAAUGAUGGAAGAACUCAUAAAUGAACUAACACACAGGUUAGCAAUGAUAGAAGAACCCGUAUACAACCUAACACACACGCACAGGUUAGUAAUGAUGGAAGAACUCGUAUACUAACCAACACACACACACAGGUUAGCAAUGAUGGAAGAACUUGUAUACUAACUAACACACACAGGUUAGCAAUGAUGGAAGAACUCAUAUACUAACACACACACACUGGUUAGCAAUGAUGGAAGAACUCAUAAAUGAACUAACACACAGGUUAGCAAUGAUGGAAGAACUCGUAUACUAACUAACACAAACAGGUUAGCAAUGAUGGAAGAACUUGUAUACUAACACACACACAGGUUAGCAAUGAUGGAAGAACUCGUAUACUAACUAACACAAACAGGUUAGCAAUGAUGGAAGAACUCGUAUACUUCCUCACACACACACACACACACACACACACACACACACACACACACACACACACACACACACACACACACACACACAGGUUAGCAAUGAUGGAAGAACUCGUAUACUAACACACACACAGGUUAGCAAUGAUGAAAGAACUCGUAUACUAACUAACACACACAGGUUUGUAAUGAUGGAAGAACUCAUAUACUAACACACACACAGGUUAGCAAUGACGCAAGAACUUGUAAACUAACUGACACACACAGGUUAUCAAUGAUGGAAUAACUCAUAUACUAACACACACACAGGUUAGCAAUGACGCAAGAACUUGUAAACUAACUGACACACACAGGUUAUCAAUGAUGGAAGAACUCGUAUACUAACACACACACAGGUUAGCAAUGAUGAAAGAACUUGUAUACUAACUAACACACACAGGUUUGUAAUGAUGGAAGAACUCAUAUACUAACACACACACAGGUUAGCAAUGACGCAAGAACUUGUAAACUAACUGACACACACAGGUUAUCAAUGAUGGAAUAACUCAUAUACUGACACACACACACACACACACACACACACACACACACACACACACACACACACACACACACACACACACACACACACACACACACACAGGUUAGCAAUGAUGGAAUAACUUGUAUACUAACACACACACAGGUUAGCAAUGAUGGAAGAACUUGUAUACUAACACACACACAGGUUAGCAAUGAUGGAAGAACUUGUAUACUAACACACACACACAGGUUAGCAAUGAUGGAAGAACUCAUAAACGAACUAACACACAGGUUAGUAAUGAUGAAGAACUUGUGUUCUAACUAACACACACAGGUUAGCAAUGAUGGAAGAACUUGUAUACUAACACACACACAGGUUAGCAAUGAUGGAAGAACUUGUAUACUAACACACACACAGGUUAGCAAUGAUGGAAGAACUUGUAUACUAACACACACACACAGGUUAGCAAUGAUGGAAGAACUCAUAAACGAACUAACACACAGGUUAGUAAUGAUGAAGAACUUGUGUUCUAACUAACACACACAGGUUAGCAAUGAUGGAAGAACUUGUGUUCUAACUAACACACACACACGUGAGCAAUGAUGGAAUAACACUUAUACAAAUAAACACACACAUACACAGGUUAGCAAUGUUGGAAGAACUUGCAUACAAACACAUACAAGUGUAAUAACACAGACUCAGAAUUAUGGGUCAUCUCUCCUGU